RNAcentral lists this ribosomal RNA (503 nucleotides) under uncultured bacterium. RNAcentral describes it as "partial 16S ribosomal RNA". It matches the Rfam family "Bacterial small subunit ribosomal RNA", at positions 30 to 523 of the family's 1533-position model. The record is from RNAcentral.
AUUGAACGCUGGCGGCAGGCUUAACACAUGCAAGUCGAGCGGGGUGAUGGUGCUUGCACUAUCACUUAGCGGCGGACGGGUGAGUAAUGCUUAGGAAUCUGCCUAUUAGUGGGGGACAACAUCUCGAAAGGGAUGCUAAUACCGCAUACGUCCUACGGGAGAAAGCAGGGGAUCACUUGUGACCUUGCGCUAAUAGAUGAGCAUAAGUCGGAUUAGCUAGUUGGUGGGGUAAAGGCCGACCAAGGCGACGAGCUGUAGCGGGUCUGAGAGGAUGAUCCGCAACACUGGGACUGAGACACGGCCCAGCAUCCUACGGGAGGCAGCAGUGGGGAAUAUUGGACAAUGGGGGGAACCCUGAUCCAGCCAUGCCGCGUGUGUGAAGAAGGCCUUAUGGUUGUAAAGCACUUUAAGCGAGGAGGAGGCUCUUUUGGUUAAUACCCAAGAUGAGUGGACGUUACUCGCAGAAUAAGCACCGGCUAACUCUGUGCCAGCAGCCGCCGUAA